This 654-nucleotide long non-coding RNA is filed under the name Gallus gallus (chicken). Its description in RNAcentral is "lncRNA (ENSGALG00010004173.1)". The record is from RNAcentral. Lineage: Eukaryota; Metazoa; Chordata; Aves; Galliformes; Phasianidae.
CUUGUCUAUUUAUAGAAAUACGUCUUGCCCUUUACUUAAGAGGCAGUGACUUGGAGAAGCAGAUAUUUAGAGGAAGUCCAUUUGCUUGACAAAAACAUCUAUUACUUUUAUCACCAUUGGAGACCGAAAAAGAAUCAAUUACAAUACUUCACUUGGGAAUGACUAAUUGAAUUGUGAAACAUACUGAUGUUCUGAAGUCACCGAGGCUGGUACGCAAAGCAGACAGUUCACUGAGGUUAAAGAUAUUGAUAAUAAUGAUGAGAAAGGAAAGAAGGAAAUCAUAAGAAAAAUAAACUGAUAUCAACCUAUGACUGCACCCAAACCAUCAAGAUAUUUUCAUGCAAUAGUCAUGUGCAGUGACCAGUGGAGUAUUUAGACUACACCCUACAUACUUAUGCUGGUCAAGGUAAGGUCUAAGAUAUGCAGAUUGCUUUUGCAACAGGCAGUGUUGAGGUUUGUUCUAAGGCUUCAUUCCCAUGGGAAUUUAUUUUGCACUAGGUCAGUGUUGAGGGAGCUCUGUCUAUUGCACUGACACAGAUGUUUUACAAAAGCAGCUGCUCUGGCUGGGAAGAUUCUAAUACACUCAUUUCAUUUGAGCUUUCUUCUCUGGAUACUACCAGUGGAUUUGCUAUGCCUUUAAUUUUUCCCCUUUCA